RNAcentral lists this ribosomal RNA (434 nucleotides) under uncultured bacterium. Its description in RNAcentral is "partial 16S ribosomal RNA". It matches the Rfam family "Bacterial small subunit ribosomal RNA", at positions 29 to 507 of the family's 1533-position model. The record is from RNAcentral.
AGCGAACGCUGGCGGCAGGCCUAACACAUGCAAGUCGAACGAACCUUUCGGGGUUAGUGGCGGACGGGUGAGUAACACGUGGGAACGUGCCUUUAGGUUCGGAAUAACUCAGGGAAACUUGUGCUAAUACCGAAUGUGCCCUUCGGGGGGAAGAUUUAUCGCCUUUAGAGCGGCCCGCGUCUGAUUAGCUAGUUGGUUGAGGUAAUGGCUCACCAAGGCGACGAUCAGUAGCUGGUCUGAGAGGAUGAUCAGCCACAUUGGGACUGAGACACGGCCCAAACUCCUACGCGAAGCAGCAGUGGGUAAUCUUGCGCAAUGGGCGAAAGCCUGACGCAGCCAUGCCGCGUGAAUGAUGAAGGUCUUAGGAUUGUAAAAUUCUUUCACCGGGGACGAUAAUGACGGUACCCGGAGAAGAAGCCCCGGCUAACUUCGUG